This 251-nucleotide unclassified non-coding RNA is filed under the name uncultured fungus. RNAcentral describes it as "sequence contains 5.8S rRNA gene". The stretch from base 1 to 53 matches the Rfam family "5.8S ribosomal RNA", at positions 102 to 154 of the family's 154-position model. The record is from RNAcentral. Lineage: Eukaryota; Fungi.
GAACGCACAUUGCGCCCCUUGGUAUUCCAUGGGGCAUGCCUGUUCGAGCGUCAUUUGUACCCUCAAGCUUUGCUUGGUGAUGGGUGUUUGUUCCGCUGCAACGCGUGAACUCGCCUCAAAUCAAUUGGCAGCCGGCAAUCUGGUGUUUGAGCGCAGCACAUUUUGCGCUCUUCGCUGUGUAUUGCGGGCGUCCAUGAAGCCUAUAUUUUCGCGCUUGACCUCGGAUCAGGUAGGGAUACCCGCUGAACUUA